GUGGCUGUGGCUCAGGGGCAGGGCCCUUGCCUACCAUGUGUGAAGCACUGGGUUCAAUCCCCAGCGCCACA
RNAcentral lists this transfer RNA (71 nucleotides) under Marmota monax (woodchuck). RNAcentral describes it as "tRNA.Gly". Lineage: Eukaryota; Metazoa; Chordata; Mammalia; Rodentia; Sciuridae. The record is from RNAcentral.